This 72-nucleotide transfer RNA is filed under the name Marmota monax (woodchuck). Its description in RNAcentral is "tRNA.Ala". It matches the Rfam family "tRNA". From Rfam's summary of the family: Transfer RNA (tRNA) molecules are approximately 80 nucleotides in length. Their secondary structure includes four short double-helical elements and three loops (D, anti-codon, and T loops). Lineage: Eukaryota; Metazoa; Chordata; Mammalia; Rodentia; Sciuridae. The record is from RNAcentral.
UGCAGUGGAGCUCAGAGGUUAAGUGCUUGCCUGGCAUGCAUGAGGCCCUGGGUUCAAUCCCCAGCACUGGGG